AUACUGUUUCAUCCUUGUUUAAUUAUAUAUUUAUUUUCACUCAGUCCUUAAACACAAACUUUGGCUUAAUCUCUCCUCAGGUUUUCAUGUCACCACAAGGUCAAACAGAAUAAAUCAUUGAAGGCUGACAUCAGAAGCUGAGGCAAAUAUCUAACAAUACUCUGGCAGAACACAGCUGGGAGAAUAGGACACUGCCUGACAGAGGCCCUCGCCUCCAACGGGAACUGAACCACCGCACGCUCCUGGCCGCUCCUUCCCAGCACGGGGCCGGACAGUUGUCCACGCUCUCCAGGACAGGUAACAUCACCCCGACCCACACCCUCCCACGCUCCCAUAGCAGGCAGCCAGCUGACAGGAUCAGGCCAGGAUGGCAGGGACAGCUCCAUCAGGACGACGGGACACGGACAGCCUCGGUGAGACUCUAGAGACCCUCGGGCAGAGAGGCGGGGGCUGCCCGUGCUCACAGGGGGAUGCUGCUGCGUUUGCUGCUUCUUCUCUUUCAGCCAGUAACACAGCGAUGGUACCAGAGCACCGCACACUCCCCGCUCUCUGCCCACCACCACUCAGCUGGAAGGAAGAGCUGCCAACGCUCUCCAGGACAGGUAAGAUUGUCCCAAACCAUUCCCCACUCCGGUCCACAGCAAGCAGGACGAUGACACGCUCGGGAAAGGAUGGCAGUGAGCUCCUUCAGCAUGACAGGACACAGACAGGCUCGCCAGAAACACACAACGAUGGGACCAGACCACAACACUCUCCUCCCUUACUGGCCACGACCACUCAGCUGGAAGGAAGAGCUGCCAACGCUCUCCAGGACAGGUAUGAUUGCCCCAACCCACACCCCAGCAUGAUCUCACAGCAAGCAGAAGACGGACAUGCUCGGGACAGGAAGGCAGUGAUGCUCCAUUAGGAUGACUGGAGAUGGACGGACGUGGUGAGAUGCUGGAGACCCUCGGGCAGAGAGGCGGGGGCAGCCCGUGGUCACAGGGGGAUGCUGCUCUGUUUGGUGCUUCUUCUCUUUCAGCCACAAUCACACAGCGAUGGGACGAGACCAUAGCACACUACCCCCUCACGGCCCUCGACCACUCAGCUGGAAGGAAGAGCUGCCAACNNNNNNNNNNAUUGCCCCAGCCCAUUGCCCACCUCUAUGGUCUCACUGCCCUGGCCUAACACAGCUGACUCUUGGCUGUCAGCGAUGCACAGGAAGGAUGGCCUUGCUGUCGGGCUGGGAGUGUCUCACGCAGGGAGGCAGGGCCUGCCCCUGGCCGUGGGCUGGGGCUGCUCUUUUUGAUCAUUUUCCUUUCUCACCCCAUCACAGAGUCCCGAGGAGUCCAAGGUCUGCCACUGUCCUUUCCUGCCUCUGCCCAGUUGCUCCACGGCCUGAAGGCUGCUGCAGCUUUCUACAACCACAGCCAUCGAAGGAGCAGCAAGCACACAGGGACCCCGCCUCUACCCUGACAUGGUCCUACAAGCACAACCACAGGCCCCGCAGCUAUGGACAAAGAGAGCUCGGCACACCUCCGUGACACCCCACCGCACCCCAUGUCUCUCAAACGUUACUCAAAUAAAGGUUCUGAUUCACAACCUCAUCGGCUGCUCUUUCCUGCCCUUCUUGGGGAAACCUCAAGGGGGGUUGCCUUUUGCAGAAGGAGCGAGUGCAGCAGCCUGCGCUUCUUCAGGUGCUGGCAUCAAGAGAAUUUCAAAGCACGUUAUGUGUCCUAAUCUAAGACCAGGGUCUGCAGGCGUGGCUCUGGAAACCAGUGUACUCCCUCUUUCAUCAAGG
Molecule: long non-coding RNA, 1780 nt
Filed under: Anas zonorhyncha (Eastern spot-billed duck)
Lineage: Eukaryota; Metazoa; Chordata; Aves; Anseriformes; Anatidae
Description: lncRNA (ENSAZOG00000009839.1)
Source: RNAcentral